UACAGAGGGUGCAAGCGUUAAUCGGAAUUACUGGGCGUAAAGCGUGCGCAGGCGGCUUUGCAAGACAGAUGUGAAAUCCCCGGGCUCAACCUGGGAACUGCAUUUGUGACUGCAUGGCUAGAGUACGGUAGAGGGGGAUGGAAUUCCGCGUGUAGCAGUGAAAUGCGUAGAUAUGCGGAGGAACACCGAUGGCGAAGGCAAUCCCCUGGACCUGUACUGACGCUCAUGCACGAAAGCGUGGGGAGCAAACAGG
This 253-nucleotide ribosomal RNA is filed under the name uncultured bacterium. RNAcentral's name for it is "partial 16S ribosomal RNA". It matches the Rfam family "Bacterial small subunit ribosomal RNA", at positions 524 to 776 of the family's 1533-position model. The record is from RNAcentral.